Molecule: non-coding RNA, 21 nt
Filed under: Caenorhabditis elegans
Lineage: Eukaryota; Metazoa; Nematoda; Chromadorea; Rhabditida; Rhabditidae
Source: RNAcentral
UGUUGUCCUCCUGGCCUUUGA